GCCUUCGUGGUGUAGUGGUCAGUACGCUCGACGCGUAACUGAGAGGUCCGUGGUUCGAUUCCCGGCGACGGCG
This 73-nucleotide transfer RNA is filed under the name Stegodyphus mimosarum. It matches the Rfam family "tRNA". From Rfam's summary of the family: Transfer RNA (tRNA) molecules are approximately 80 nucleotides in length. Their secondary structure includes four short double-helical elements and three loops (D, anti-codon, and T loops). Lineage: Eukaryota; Metazoa; Arthropoda; Arachnida; Araneae; Eresidae. The record is from Rfam by way of RNAcentral.